GAACAGCAUACAGACAACAAAUGGAGAGCAUACGAUCAUAAAUUCCUUUUCGACUGCACAAGCUUACAGACUGAACCACCACCAUGGGAGUCUCCAUGCCAAGUGUAGAGCCACGGUGCCGCCAUGAAGCUACAUGAAUGCCCCGAGUAUUGCCCAAAAAUGUGUGGAAGUGCAUAAUUGAGACAAAACAUUUGUUUUACGGGACAUUAUCUUUAGAAAAGGUUUUACGGGACAGUAUCUUUAGAAAAGGUUUUACGGGACAGUAUCUUUAGAAAAGGUUUUACGGGACAGUAUCUUGAGAAAAGGUUUUACGGGACAGUAUCUUUAGAAAAGGUUUUACGGGACAGUAUCUUGAGAAGAGGUUUUACGGGACAGUAUCUUUAGAAAAGGUUUUACGGGACAGUAUCUUUAGAAAAGGUUUUACGGGACAGUAUCUUGAGAAAAGGUUUUACGGGACAGUAUCUUGAGAAAAGGUUUUACGGGACAGUAUCUUGAGAAAAGGUUUUACGGGACAGUAUCUUGAGAAAAGGUUUUACGGGACAGUAUCUUGAGAAAAGGUUUUACGGGACAGUAUCUUGAGAAAAGGUUUUACGGGACAGUAUCUUUAGAAAAGGUUUUACGGGACAGUAUCUUGAGAAAAGGUUUUACGGGACAGUAUCUUGAGAAAAGGUUUUACGGGACAGUAUCUUGAGAAAAGGUUUUACGGGACAGUAUCUUUAGAAAAGGUUUUACGGGACAGUAUCUUUAGAAAAGGUUUUACGGGACAGUAUCUUGAGAAAAGGUUUUACGGGACAGUAUCUUUAGAAAAGGUUUUACGGGACAGUAUCUUUAGAAAAGGUUUUACGGGACAGUAUCUUGAGAAAAGGUUUUACGGGACAGUAUCUUGAGAAAAGGUUUUACGGGACAGUAUCUUUAGAAAAGGUUUUACGGGACAGUAUCUUGAGAAAAGGUUUUACGGGACAGUAUCUUUAGAAAAGGUUUUACGGGACAGUAUCUUGAGAAAAGGUUUUACGGGACAGUAUCUUUAGAAAAGGUUUUACGGGACAGUAUCUUUAGAAAAGGUUUUACGGGACAGUAUCUUUAGAAAAGGUUUUACGGGACAGUAUCUUGAGAAAAGGUUUUACGGGACAGUAUCUUGAGAAAAGGUUUUACGGGACAGUAUCUUUAGAAAAGGUUUUACGGGACAGUAUCUUUAGAAAAGGUUUUACGGGACAGUAUCUUUAGAAAAGGUUUUACGGGACAGUAUCUUGAGAAAAGGUUUUACGGGACAGUAUCUUGAGAAAAGGUUUUACGGGACAGUAUCUUUAGAAAAGGUUUUACGGGACAGUAUCUUGAGAAAAGGUUUUACGGGACAGUAUCUUUAGAAAAGGUUUUACGGGACAGUAUCUUUAGAAAAGGUUUUACGGGACAGUAUCUUGAGAAAAGGUUUUACGGGACAGUAUCUUGAGAAAAGGUUUUACGGGACAGUAUCUUUAGAAAAGGUUUUACGGGACAGUAUCUUUAGAAAAGGUUUUACGGGACGGGUGAUAAAAAUGGCGGAGCUCUUUAUUUUCUGCUUCUUGUUGAUGAAACAGUUGAUUGCAUAAUGAGUCAUUUUGAGGUGCCAGUUAACAUGUAUUGUAAUGCUAAUGGCCUGUUUAGAGCUGGGACAAAGUCAUUAAAAUAUAAA
Oncorhynchus keta (chum salmon) is the source of this 1669-nucleotide long non-coding RNA. RefSeq lists it as uncharacterized. The record is from RefSeq and is a predicted model, not a curated record. The transcript has 3 exons. NCBI's taxonomy places the organism in Eukaryota, Metazoa, Chordata, Actinopteri, Salmoniformes, Salmonidae.